RNAcentral lists this microRNA (22 nucleotides) under Cervus elaphus (red deer). RNAcentral's name for it is "cel-miR-93-3p". Lineage: Eukaryota; Metazoa; Chordata; Mammalia; Artiodactyla; Cervidae. The record is from RNAcentral.
UACUGCUGAGCCAGCACUUCCC